This is a long non-coding RNA of Coccinella septempunctata (seven-spotted ladybird), 1026 nucleotides long. RefSeq lists it as uncharacterized. The record is from RefSeq and is a predicted model, not a curated record. The transcript is spliced from 4 exons. Lineage: Eukaryota; Metazoa; Arthropoda; Insecta; Coleoptera; Coccinellidae.
UAUUUUCAGUCAUUUCGUGAUUUUUAGCGUUGAAAUUGCCAAGAUAAAUUUAUAUUAGGAAAGUCGAGGUCACUAUUCAGCCAAAACUAACUUAAAAUUUUAUAAUUUCCAUAAUUUUUCAAUUCGUAUAACGUGUUUGCCUGUCAUUCGGGUAGAAGUGUUGAGGGAGCCUUAGGCCAGUUUCAUUUGACUGUUGACAGACCGUGAAAAAAUUGAUGUAAAUUUUUAAGGUUUAAUUAUUAUUGAAAUUAAAGGAUAUAUUUACUACAUUUCUCCCCGUACAAUAGCAUAGCAGUGAUAGCACUUCGAAGCUCACAUCACAGAUGAAUUUUUCCCCAUAAUCCGAAAGUUAGGCACAUAUAAAUUCAUCAUAUCAAGAAAUGUAUGAAAUUCACAAAUGUCAAAUAUCAUCUCUCGGAAAGUCUCAUUUUAUAUAAAAAAAGCUUCUUCAGGGGUAAGCUUCUGAGCAAUUGUUUCAGAAGAGUUAGUAUUUGAAGUAUAUGAUCCAUUUGUCAAGUUUACAUAAUGGAUUUCAGAUUAAAUUACAUGCAAACUCACAGAAUGAGAAACAUCCUUAAUCUUGGUGUAUGAACAUAAGAAUUUCUAGAUAACAAACGGUUCUUGGGGGCAUAUAUAAAUUUAUCAGAUCAAGAAAUUUUUUUCAGAGUAAGUUCAUAAAGCAAUUCGUUCAGGAGAGUUUCCAUGUGAAGUAGAUGAUCUAUUUCUCUUCUUUUCAACUGAGUACAUCAGAUUUCUGACAACGUUCAAGCAAUUGGGUAGUGUAUGGAGAUGAUUUUCUUAGUCUAGAUUUAUGGCAAAAUACGUUUUGAGAUAAGUUAUUCUGUUGGAAUUAUAUAAUGAUUAUUGAAACACAAUCUAUGAGUGAGCUUUUGCGUUAAAAUUCUAUGUUUAUAGACAUUUGUCGAGUUUUCUCAUUCAAGGUAAGAUUUUUCUCUUAUCGUAGAGAGAGGGACUCUGUAGGUUUUUGUUCGAAAUAAACUGAAUUAAAUGUUAUAAUACUUGAAA